CGCGUGGUUCUAUUUUGUUGGUUUUUAGAACCGCCGUAAUGAUUAAUAGGGACAGUCGGGGGCAUCUGUAUUCAAUUGUCAGAGGUGAAAUUCUUGGAUCUAUUGAAGACAAACUACUGCGAAAGCAUUUGCCAAGGAUGUUUUCAUUGAUAAGGAACGAAAGUUAGGGGAUCGAAGACGAUCAGAUACCGUCGUAGUCUUAACUAUAAACUAUGCCGACUAGGGAUCGGACGAUGUUAUUUUUUGACUCGUUCGGCACCUUUCGAGAAAUCAAAGUGCUUGGGCUCCAGGGGGAGUAUGGUCGCAAGGCUGAAACUUAAAGAAAUUGACGGAAGGGCACCACCAGGGGUGGAACCUGCGGCUUAAUUUGACUCAACACGGGGAAACUCACCAGGUCCAGACACAGUGAGGAUUGACAGAUUGAUAGCUCUUUCUUGAUUCUGUGGGUGGUGGUGCAUGGCCGUUCUUAGUUGGUGGAGUGAUUUGUCUGCUUAAUUGCGAUAACGAACGAGACCUUAACCUGCUAAAUAGCCCGUUCUGCUCCGGCAGUACGCUGGCUUCUUAGAGGGACUAUCGGCUCAAGCCGAUGGAAGUUUGAGGCAAUAACAGGUCUGUGAUGCCCUUAGAUGUCCUGGGCCGCACGCGCGUUACACUGACAAAGCCAGCGAGUAUUUCCUUAGCCGGAAGGCUUGGGUAGUCUCGUAAACUUUGUCGUGC
This 717-nucleotide ribosomal RNA is filed under the name uncultured fungus. Its description in RNAcentral is "SSU rRNA". It matches the Rfam family "Eukaryotic small subunit ribosomal RNA", at positions 827 to 1570 of the family's 1831-position model. Lineage: Eukaryota; Fungi. The record is from RNAcentral.